GGAGGAGCUUGCUUCUCCGGAUGAGUUGCGAACGGGUGAGUAACGCGUAGGUAACCUGCCUGGUAGCGGGGGAUAACUAUUGGAAACGAUAGCUAAUACCGCAUAAGAGUAGAUGUUGCAUGACAUUUGCUUAAAAGGUGCAAUUGCAUCACUACCAGAUGGACCUGCGUUGUAUCAGCUAGUUGGUGGGGUAACGGCUCACCAAGGCGACGAUACAUAGCCGACCUGAGAGGGUGAUCGGCCACACUGGGACUGAGACACGGCCCAGACUCCUACGGGAGGCAGCAGUAGGGAAUCUUCGGCAAUGGACGGAAGUCUGACCGAGCAACGCCGCGUGAGUGAAGAAGGUUUUCGGAUCGUAAAGCUCUGUUGUAAGAGAAGAACGAGUGUGAGAGUGGAAAGUUCACACUGUGACGGUAUCUUACCAGAAAGGGACGGCUAACUACGUGCCAGCAGCCGCGGUAAUACGUAGGUCCCGAGCGUUGUCCGGAUUUAUUGGGCGUAAAGCGAGCGCAGGCGGUUAGAUAAGUCUGAAGUUAAAGGCUGUGACUUAACCAUAGUACGCUUUGGAAACUGUUUAACUUGAGUGCAAGAGGGGAGAGUGGGAUUCUAUGUGUAGCGGUGAAAUGCGUAGAUAUAUGGAGGAACACCGGUGGCGAAAGCGGCUCUCUGGCUUGUAACUGACGCUGA
RNAcentral lists this ribosomal RNA (690 nucleotides) under uncultured Streptococcaceae bacterium. Its description in RNAcentral is "bacterial SSU rRNA". It matches the Rfam family "Bacterial small subunit ribosomal RNA", at positions 72 to 749 of the family's 1533-position model. The record is from RNAcentral. Lineage: Bacteria; Bacillati; Bacillota; Bacilli; Lactobacillales; Streptococcaceae.